GAAAUGCGAUAAGUAAUGUGAAUUGCAGAAUUCAGUGAAUCAUCGAAUCUUUGAACGCACAUUGCGCCCGCCAGUAUUCUGGCGGGCAUGCCUGUCCGAGCGUCAUUUCAACCAUCAAGCCCCCGGGCUUGUGUUGGGGACCUGCGGCUGCCCGCAGGCCCUGAAAACCAGUGGCGGGCUCGCUGUCACACCGAGCGUAGUAGCAACCACCUCGCUCAGGGCGUGCUGCGGGUUCCGGCCGUUAAACAGCCUUACAAAACCCAAGGUUGACCUCGGAUCAGGUAGGAAGACCCGCUGAACUUAAGC
This 306-nucleotide unclassified non-coding RNA is filed under the name plant metagenome. RNAcentral's name for it is "partial contains 5.8S ribosomal RNA, internal transcribed spacer 2, and large subunit ribosomal RNA". The stretch from base 1 to 105 matches the Rfam family "5.8S ribosomal RNA", at positions 50 to 154 of the family's 154-position model. The record is from RNAcentral.